GACGAACGCUGGCGGCGUGCUUAACACAUGCAAGUCGAGCGGUAAGGCCCUUUCGGGGGUACACGAGCGGCGAACGGGUGAGUAACACGUGGGUGACCUGCCCUCAGCUCUGGGAUAAGCCUGGGAAACCGGGUCUAAUACUGGAUAUGACUCCAUGACGCAUGUUGUGGGGUGGAAAGCCUUGUGCGGCUGAGGAUGGGCCCGCGGCCUAUCAACUUGUUGGUGGGGUGAUGGCCUACCAAGGCGACGACGGGUAGCCGGCCUGAGAGGGCGACCGGCCACACUGGGACUGAGACACGGCCCAGACUCCUACGGGAGGCAGCAGUGGGGAAUCUUGCGCAAUGGGCGAAAGCCUGACGCAGCGACGCCGCGUGAGGAUGAC
Molecule: ribosomal RNA, 382 nt
Filed under: uncultured bacterium
Lineage: Bacteria
Description: bacterial SSU rRNA
Rfam family: Bacterial small subunit ribosomal RNA
Source: RNAcentral